CGAUCUUAUGCACUACAUUAAUGUGAUAGUCAGGGGACCCUGGGUUACAUGUGAUCAGUUCACAGGUUGGAUGUCAUUCGACAUCCAGCAGUGAGACAUGGCAGACAUUCAUAAGAUAAUGGACCACAGUGCUUUCUUUGCCACACCCCCUCCCCUUGCUUGCCUUCCACCCAGACUUCGGGUGGCGACCAGACCAAAUGUGUAUGGCAUUCGAGGUGCAUUCUGCAUAUUCCUUUUGCAUUCUGCCAGCAUUGGGGAGAUUUGUGCUGUGUUCCAGCUGCAUUUGACCUGCCUUCUGGGUAUUCGUGCUGUGUUCGGAGCGCAUUUCACCUGCAUUCGGGAGCUGCUGCAUGCCGAAUGUGCGCAAAUCAUUCAAGGUGGCUUCAACCCACAUUCUGGGUAUUUAAACUGCAUUCCUACAC
This is a long non-coding RNA of Thalassophryne amazonica, 422 nucleotides long. RefSeq lists it as uncharacterized. The record is from RefSeq and is a predicted model, not a curated record. NCBI's taxonomy places the organism in Eukaryota, Metazoa, Chordata, Actinopteri, Batrachoidiformes, Batrachoididae. The transcript is spliced from 4 exons.